This is a long non-coding RNA of Cyprinus carpio (common carp), 1122 nucleotides long. NCBI's taxonomy places the organism in Eukaryota, Metazoa, Chordata, Actinopteri, Cypriniformes, Cyprinidae. The record is from Ensembl.
UAAAUUUCAGUCAAAAUAUUUGAGAAUGGAGAAAUACUGAUCUGCUACAAAAACUACUGUUAUAACUCAUUCCAUAACAAUAUUCUUAAACAACAACUUAAGAAACAAUUGGACACAGUUAACAAUCUAUCAUCAGUAUAUUGUAAUGGUACUUAAUGUAGUUACAGUCAUUUUAAACUGUACCUUCUGGCCAAAACAUGAGUCCAAAAGCUUUUCACUUUAAAGGACAUUAGUUGAUGGACUGUAGUCAUGUGAAUUACUUGUGGAUUUUUUUGUUGUUUAUAUCAGCUGUUUGGACUCUCAUUCUGACGGCACCCAUUCACUGCAAAGGAUCCAUUGGUUAAGUGAUGUAAUGACAAAUUUCUCCAAAGAAGAAACAAAUUAAUCUACAUCUUGGAUGGUAUGAGGGUAAAUGUUUAAUUUUUUGUUUGAACUAAUCAUUUAAGUGUAAAAAAAAAAAAAAAAAAAACAUUCUUUGUUUAUGUUUUUAGAGUGUAUUGGGUAAGGAGUAGAGUUGUUAAAAUGGAAAUAAUUAAUUUUUACACUUCAUUACUCUUGCUUGUUCUAGCUUCUCUCUUGUGCCUUUUGGGAAUAAAAAAGCAACAUUUCCUGUUUUGCUGGGCAUUUCAUUUAGCUGUCAGCAGAUGCAGAGACCUAGUUUCCCAUCUCGUGAGAGAGAGACAGAGAGAAAGAGAGAGAGGGAGAAGAAUGUGGAUGGGGAUGACAAGACAGUGGAAAGUCUGGAACAUUACGCAGGUUCAAAAUCAUACCUAACAAAACAUGACGUCCUGACAACUUCACGCACUGUACCUAUCAGUCACAAGACUGUAAAAUGGGUCAUUCUCAGGAAACUGUGCCAUUUGUGCCUGAAGUUCAGUUUCAUUUGAAAAGGUUACUGCUGAAUUUGCAAAAAAUCUUAUUUUUUGCACCUCAAGCCUGAAGUACCAGCGUCAGAACUGAUACAUAGACACUGGAGGAAUCAGAAAGAACUUUAUUGCCAGGUAUGUUUACACAUACAAGGAAUUUGUUUUAGUGACAGAAGCUUCCACAGCACAAAAAGAAUGACAGUAACAAGACAAGACAGAUAAUAAAAAUAAUAAUAAUAAUAAAUAAUAAUAAUAA